GUCCAGGGAUGGGAAUCGAACCUACAAUGUUCCGCUUACCGGGCAGAUGCCAUGUCCACUAGGCUACCCUGGA
This 73-nucleotide transfer RNA is filed under the name Cordylochernes scorpioides. RNAcentral's name for it is "tRNA-Thr". Lineage: Eukaryota; Metazoa; Arthropoda; Arachnida; Pseudoscorpiones; Chernetidae. The record is from RNAcentral.